UACGUAGGGGGCAAGCGUUAUCCGGAUUUACUGGGUGUAAAGGGAGCGUAGACGGUUAAUCAAGUCAGAAGUGAAAACCCAGGGCUCAACCUUGGGACUGCUUUUGAAACUGCCAGGCUAGAGUGUCGGAGAGGUAAGUGGAAUUCCUAGUGUAGCGGUGAAAUGCGUAGAUAUUAGGAGGAACACCAGUGGCGAAGGCGGCUUACUGGACGGUAACUGACGCUGAGGCUCGAAAGCGUGGGGAGCAAACAGG
This 253-nucleotide ribosomal RNA is filed under the name uncultured Lachnospiraceae bacterium. Its description in RNAcentral is "partial 16S ribosomal RNA". It matches the Rfam family "Bacterial small subunit ribosomal RNA", at positions 524 to 776 of the family's 1533-position model. The record is from RNAcentral. Lineage: Bacteria; Bacillati; Bacillota; Clostridia; Lachnospirales; Lachnospiraceae.